Molecule: ribosomal RNA, 464 nt
Filed under: Vreelandella stevensii
Lineage: Bacteria; Pseudomonadati; Pseudomonadota; Gammaproteobacteria; Oceanospirillales; Halomonadaceae
Description: partial 16S ribosomal RNA
Rfam family: Bacterial small subunit ribosomal RNA
Source: RNAcentral
CCUACGUGCGGCAGCAGUGGGGAAUAUUGGACAAUGGGCGAAAGCCUGAUCCAGCCAUGCCGCGUGUGUGAAGAAGGCCUUCGGGUUGUAAAGCACUUUCAGUGGGGAAGAAAGCCUUGGGGCUAAUACCCUCGAGGAAGGACAUCACCCACAGAAGAAGCACCGGCUAACUCCGUGCCAGCAGCCGCGGUAAUACGGAGGGUGCGAGCGUUAAUCGGAAUUACUGGGCGUAAAGCGCGCGUAGGCGGUCUGAUAAGCCGGUUGUGAAAGCCCGGGCUCAACCUGGGAACGGCAUCCGGAACUGUCAGGCUAGAGUGCAGGAGAGGAAGGUAGAAUUCCCGGUGUAGCGGUGAAAUGCGUAGAGAUCGGGAGGAAUACCAGUGGCGAAGGCGGCCUUCUGGACUGACACUGACGCUGAGGUGCGAAAGCGUGGGUAGCAAACAGGAUUAGAUACCCCGGUAGUC